RNAcentral lists this ribosomal RNA (169 nucleotides) under Pseudapocryptes elongatus. RNAcentral describes it as "partial 12S rRNA". Lineage: Eukaryota; Metazoa; Chordata; Actinopteri; Gobiiformes; Gobiidae. The record is from RNAcentral.
CACCGCGGUUACACGUACAGCCCAAGUUGACAUACCAACGGCGUAAAAGUGGGUAGUAAAAAUAAAUAACUAAAGAUAAACAUCUUCCAAAUUGUUAAACUUGAUCGAAGACAGGAAACACCCCCAAGAAAGUGACUUUAAAUAAUAUGACCCCACCAAAGCUAGGGAA